GGAGAGUAUGCCCACGGUGGGCGCGCGGUGUCGAAAGCCGCUAUACGGUAACCAUUCCGGGGGUUCAACUCCUCUGCUCUCCG
This 83-nucleotide transfer RNA is filed under the name Gordonia phage OneUp. Its description in RNAcentral is "tRNA-Ser". The record is from RNAcentral. Lineage: Duplodnaviria; Heunggongvirae; Uroviricota; Caudoviricetes.